This 71-nucleotide transfer RNA is filed under the name Loxodonta africana (African savanna elephant). It matches the Rfam family "tRNA". Rfam says of the family: Transfer RNA (tRNA) molecules are approximately 80 nucleotides in length. Their secondary structure includes four short double-helical elements and three loops (D, anti-codon, and T loops). Further hydrogen bonds mediate the characteristic L-shaped molecular structure. tRNAs have two regions of fundamental functional importance: the anti-codon, which is responsible for specific mRNA codon recognition, and the 3' end, to which the tRNAs corresponding amino acid is attached (by aminoacyl-tRNA synthetases). tRNAs cope with the degeneracy of the genetic code in two manners: having more than one tRNA (with a specific anti-codon) for a particular amino acid; and 'wobble' base-pairing, i.e. permitting non-standard base-pairing at the 3rd anti-codon position. Lineage: Eukaryota; Metazoa; Chordata; Mammalia; Proboscidea; Elephantidae. The record is from Rfam by way of RNAcentral.
GCAGUGGUGAGUCAGUGGUAGAAUUCUCGUCUUCAAUGCCGGAGACCGGGGUUCAAUUCCUGGCCGGUGCA